GAUGAACGCUGGCGGCGUGCCUAAUACAUGCCAGUCGAGCGAACGGACGAGAAGCUUGCUUCUCUGAUGUUAGCGGCGGACGGGUGAGUAACACGUGGAUAACCUACCUAUAAGACUGGGAUAACUUCGGGAAACCGGAGCUAAUACCGGAUGAUAUUUUGAACCGCAUAGUUCAAAAGUGAAAGACGGUCUUGCUGUCACUUAUAGAUGGAUCCGCGCUGCAUUAGCUAGUUGGUAAGGUAACGGCUUACCAAGGCAACGAUGCAUAGCCGACCUGAGAGGGUGAUCGGCCACACUGGAACUGAGACACGGUCCAGACUCCUACGGGAGGCAGCAGUAGGGAAUCUUCCGCAAUGGGCGAAAGCCUGACGGAGCAACGCCGCGUGAGUGAUGAAGGUCUUCGGAUCGUAAAACUCUGUUAUUAGGGAAGAACAUAUGUGUAAGUAACUGUGCACAUCUUGACGGUACCUAAUCAGAAAGCCACGGCUAACUACGUG
RNAcentral lists this ribosomal RNA (497 nucleotides) under uncultured bacterium. RNAcentral describes it as "partial 16S ribosomal RNA". It matches the Rfam family "Bacterial small subunit ribosomal RNA", at positions 28 to 507 of the family's 1533-position model. The record is from RNAcentral.